GCCUGGGUGGCUCAGUUGGUUGAGUGUCUGACUUCGGCUUAGGUCAUCAUCCCAAGGUUUGUGGGUUCGAGCCCCACAUUGGGCU
Molecule: transfer RNA, 85 nt
Filed under: Felis catus (domestic cat)
Lineage: Eukaryota; Metazoa; Chordata; Mammalia; Carnivora; Felidae
Rfam family: tRNA
About the family: Transfer RNA (tRNA) molecules are approximately 80 nucleotides in length. Their secondary structure includes four short double-helical elements and three loops (D, anti-codon, and T loops).
Source: Rfam by way of RNAcentral